Ovis aries (sheep) is the source of this 72-nucleotide transfer RNA. It matches the Rfam family "tRNA". Rfam says of the family: Transfer RNA (tRNA) molecules are approximately 80 nucleotides in length. Their secondary structure includes four short double-helical elements and three loops (D, anti-codon, and T loops). The record is from Rfam. Lineage: Eukaryota; Metazoa; Chordata; Mammalia; Artiodactyla; Bovidae.
UCCCUGGUGGCUCAUUUGGUAAAGAAUCUGCCUGCAAUGCAGGAGACCCAGGUUUGAUCCCUGGGUUGGGAA